CCUACGUGAGGCAGCAGUGGGGCAUAUUGGGCAAUGGGCGCAAGCCUGACCCAGCAACGCCGCGUGCAGGACGAAGGCUUUCGGGUUGUAAACUUCUUUUAUGAGGGACGAAAGACAUGACGGUACCUCAUGAAUAAGCCACGGCUAACUAAGUGCCAGCAGCCGCGGUAAUACGUAGGUGGCAAGCGUUAUUCGGAUUUACUGGGUGUAAAGGGCGUGUAGGCGGGACUACAAGUCAGAUGUGAAAAUUAUGGGCUCAACCCAUCACUUGCAUUGGAAACUGUAGUUCUUGAGUGAUGGAGAGGCAGGCGGAAUGCCGGGUGUAGCGGUGAAAGGCGUAGAUAUACGGAGGAACACCAGUGGCGAAGGCGGCCUGCUGGACAUUAACUGACGCUGAGGCGCGAAAGCGUGGGGAGCAAACAGGAUUAGAUACCCUAGUAGUC
RNAcentral lists this ribosomal RNA (443 nucleotides) under uncultured bacterium. RNAcentral's name for it is "partial 16S ribosomal RNA". It matches the Rfam family "Bacterial small subunit ribosomal RNA", at positions 338 to 795 of the family's 1533-position model. The record is from RNAcentral.